UCCCAUAUGGCUCAGUUGGUAGAGCAUGGUGUUUGCAACGCCAGGGUUGUGGGUUCGAUUCCCACGGGGGAC
RNAcentral lists this transfer RNA (72 nucleotides) under Salmo salar (Atlantic salmon). It matches the Rfam family "tRNA". From Rfam's summary of the family: Transfer RNA (tRNA) molecules are approximately 80 nucleotides in length. Their secondary structure includes four short double-helical elements and three loops (D, anti-codon, and T loops). Lineage: Eukaryota; Metazoa; Chordata; Actinopteri; Salmoniformes; Salmonidae. The record is from Rfam by way of RNAcentral.